This 314-nucleotide long non-coding RNA is filed under the name Brassica napus (rape). RNAcentral's name for it is "long non-coding RNA (BNAP_LNC002496)". Lineage: Eukaryota; Viridiplantae; Streptophyta; Magnoliopsida; Brassicales; Brassicaceae. The record is from RNAcentral.
AUUUGUGUAAAAUAUGAAUUUUCGAAAGUCAAUUAUACAAAUAGGUCCACAUACUCACCCCCAAAGACUUCACAGGUUUGUUUUGUUUUCUUCUGAUCAUAUUCAGACCGUCAUGUAAUCAUCAUUUUGAACUAAAACAAAACUUAGUUACUUGUAAGUUUCCACUAUGUAAUAUAUUUUUUCUUCAAAAUCUAAUUAAUUAAUUGCACAUGUAGACUAAAUUAUAAGAUCGUAAGUUAUAAAAAACUAACAAAUUGCGUUUUCAUGGUGUAAACAUAAAUCUAUAUCACUUUCAUAGUGUAAACACAAGCCAC